GCGGAUGUGAUGAAAUUGGCAGACAUGCCAGAUUUAGGUUCUGGUGCCUCCGGCGUGCAGGUUCAAGUCCUGUCAUCCGCACCA
Molecule: transfer RNA, 84 nt
Filed under: Saccharofermentans sp.
Lineage: Bacteria; Bacillati; Bacillota; Clostridia; Eubacteriales; Oscillospiraceae
Also listed under: 1 other name
Description: tRNA-Leu
Rfam family: tRNA
About the family: Transfer RNA (tRNA) molecules are approximately 80 nucleotides in length. Their secondary structure includes four short double-helical elements and three loops (D, anti-codon, and T loops).
Source: RNAcentral